Molecule: long non-coding RNA, 1018 nt
Organism: Oxyura jamaicensis (ruddy duck)
Lineage: Eukaryota; Metazoa; Chordata; Aves; Anseriformes; Anatidae
Exons: 2
Source: RefSeq, a predicted model, not a curated record
CUGAGAUGCUAAAAAGAAAGGUAUGGGGCAGGUGGCAGCACUGGAGAAGCCAAAACACCCAGAAGAUGGAAAGCAGCUGUGGCCUGUGAGUAAAGAUGAGGUGGAACAGAUUCAAACCCUGAACCUUACAAAUUUGGUGAGGACUUUUGGUACUGAAAAAACAAUAACAUUCUGCCACAGCAAGUGCCUUUUGACCUCUGUAGACUUAAACUGGUCUGUAAGGUGACUUAGUGGUGACCAGAGCUGGAAAAUGCUCUUCCACCACACCUGAAUCAAGAAAGCAGCUGUGAUAAGUAUAAAAUGUAUAAAAUUUUGGCUGGCUAAUAAAAGAUGGAACAUGUAAGUAAAAAAUCUAAAAUUCCAGAAAUAGCAAUUUGCAGUUUCUGAAGGUCUGAGCUGGGACAACAUUGUGGCUCUCCAUGCUUUGCUCAGUGCUGCAUGUUUCUCUUUUGUCCAGAUUUGGCUGAGGAGUGGACAAGACAAAGCUGUCUAUUCAUUCUUUAUAAUGUCUUUUUUCCACUUCUCAUGAUACAGUGAUUUCCUCAGCUAUGCUAAGUGGUCAUCACUUCAAGCGCCUGGUUUCUUACACUUUCCAGCGGAGAUGUGAGCAAGCAAGUAGAAAGCCAGCAGGAAGAAAAGGCAAUGCACGAGGCGUAUCACCAACAGUUUGUUUCAGAAGCUCAGUAGAGCAGAAUCUGUUAAUGCAACUGGAAAACUUCUUAGAGGGAAAGAAAUAAUUUUGAUAUGCUUUAACUAGCCGUUGGAAGGGAGUGGACUUGAAAAAUAAAUAGAAAAAAAAAAGAAAAAAGAAAAAUUAUACUUGCACUUUUUACAAAUAUGCUAUUUCCCACUGCGGGGAAAAGGCAAGUUUUGCUCCUCUUCUGGGCUUGUAUGUGAGCUCAUCACCUGGCUGUCAUCUGGCCCACACCACCCAGCAUGUGCAAUGUAGUGGGGUUGGAACAGGGCCGGGGUAGAACAGCAUCUCAUUCUUCCUAAAGGCUUAGUUAUCCCAUUUCCU